UAAAGCACUGACACGAACGAUGGGUAAC
RNAcentral lists this small RNA (28 nucleotides) under Bombyx mori (domestic silkworm). Its description in RNAcentral is "ovarian small RNA-18317". The record is from RNAcentral. Lineage: Eukaryota; Metazoa; Arthropoda; Insecta; Lepidoptera; Bombycidae.